GGGGGUCGGCCGCGGAGGCGGCCCGGGCGCCGGCCUCCCUAGCGCUCGCCGCCGCGCUCCGCUGGCUAGGCCGCGCUGGCCCCUGGCGCUCGGCAGCUGACUCCAUCCAGAUGUGCCGCGGCUCCAGAGUGGCUGCCGCGCGCAGUAAAUGGGCAUCGGAGGCUCGUCAAUCCGGGCCAGAGCAAUUGCGGUCUCGGGGCCGCCCCACUGGCACUAGGAAAGAGUCUCGCUCUGUCACCCAGGCAGGAGAGCAAUGGUAUGAUCUUGGUUCACUACAGCCUUGACCUCCUGGGCUCAAGUGAUCCUCCCACCUCAGCCUCCGGAGUAGCUGGGACCACAGGAAUGCAAUACCACGUCUGGCUAAUUUUUGUACUUUUGGUAGAGGCGGGGUCUUGCUACCUUACCAGGGCUGGUCUCAAACUCCUGGGCUCAAGUGAUCCUCCUUGCCUUGGCCUCCCAAAGUACUGAGAUUACAGGCAUGAGCCGCUGCACAGAGCCCCAGUAACUAUUUAUUGAAUAAAUCUGAGUUCCUGAAAGAUUGAAUACAAUCUGUUUAGAGGAAGAAGCUGUAUAACAGUAAUAAGAUGAAAGAAGAAGAAAGGAAGAAAAGGAGGAGUGAAAGGAGGAGGGGAAGAAACUGACUAAUGCAGGUUAAAUAAUAUCAUAAUUAUUCCACUGUAAUUUUUUUGCACUUUAAAGUACUCACCUGUCUAUUCUGUACUGGAGUUCUGACCUUGUUUCUGGUCUACCACACCACUGUAUUU
Molecule: long non-coding RNA, 764 nt
Filed under: Pongo abelii (Sumatran orangutan)
Lineage: Eukaryota; Metazoa; Chordata; Mammalia; Primates; Hominidae
Description: lincRNA
Source: RNAcentral